GAUGAACGCUAGCUACAGGCUUAACACAUGCAAGUCGAGGGGCAGCAUGGUCUUAGCUUGCUAAGGCCGAUGGCGACCGGCGCACGGGUGAGUAACACGUAUCCAACCUGCCGUCUACUCUUGGACAGCCUUCUGAAAGGAAGAUUAAUACAAGAUGGCAUCAUGAGUCCGCAUGUUCACAUGAUUAAAGGUAUUCCGGUAGACGAUGGGGAUGCGUUCCAUUAGAUAGUAGGCGGGGUAACGGCCCACCUAGUCUUCGAUGGAUAGGGGUUCUGAGAGGAAGGUCCCCCACAUUGGAACUGAGACACGGUCCAAACUCCUACGGGAGGCAGCAGCGAGGAAUAUUGGUCAAUGGGCGCAGGCCUGAACCAGCCAAGUAGCGUGAAGGAUGACUGCCCUAUGGGUUGUAAACUUCUUUUAUAAAGGAAUAAAGUCGGGUAUGUAUACCCGUUUGCAUGUACUUUAUGAAUAAGGAUCGGCUAACUCCGUG
This 490-nucleotide ribosomal RNA is filed under the name uncultured bacterium. RNAcentral's name for it is "partial 16S ribosomal RNA". It matches the Rfam family "Bacterial small subunit ribosomal RNA", at positions 28 to 507 of the family's 1533-position model. The record is from RNAcentral.